UUUAUGGAGAGUUUGAUCCUGGCUCAGGAUGAACGCUGGCGGCGUGCCUAAUACAUGCAAGUCGAGCGAACGGACGAGAAGCUUGCUUCUCUGAUGUUAGCGGCGGACGGGUGAGUAACACGUGGAUAACCUACCUAUAAGACUGGGAUAACUUCGGGAAACCGGAGCUAAUACCGGAUAAUAUUUUGAACCGCAUGGUUCAAAAGUGAAAGACGGUCUUGCUGUCACUUAUAGAUGGAUCCGCGCUGCAUUAGCUAGUUGGUAAGGUAACGGCUUACCAAGGCAACGAUGCAUAGCCGACCUGAGAGGGUGAUCGGCCACACUGGAACUGAGACACGGUCCAGACUCCUACGGGAGGCAGCAGUAGGGAAUCUUCCGCAAUGGGCGAAAGCCUGACGGAGCAACGCCGCGUGAGUGAUGAAGGUCUUCGGAUCGUAAAACUCUGUUAUUAGGGAAGAACAUAUGUGUAAGUAACUGUGCACAUCUUGACGGUACCUAAUCAGAAAGCCACGGCUAACUACGUGCCAGCAGCCGCGGUAAUACGUAGGUGGCAAGCGUUAUCCGGAAUUAUUGGGCGUAAAGCGCGCGUAGGCGGUUUUUUAAGUCUGAUGUGAAAGCCCACGGCUCAACCGUGGAGGGUCAUUGGAAACUGGAAAACUUGAGUGCAGAAGAGGAAAGUGGAAUUCCAUGUGUAGCGGUGAAAUGCGCAGAGAUAUGGAGGAACACCAGUGGCGAAGGCGACUUUCUGGUCUGUAACUGACGCUGAUGUGCGAAAGCGUGGGGAUCAAACAGGAUUAGAUACCCUGGUAGUCCACGCCGUAAACGAUGAGUGCUAAGUGUUAGGGGGUUUCCGCCCCUUAGUGCUGCAGCUAACGCAUUAAGCACUCCGCCUGGGGAGUACGACCGCAAGGUUGAAACNNNNNNNNNNCAAAGGAAUUGACGGGGACCCGCACAAGCGGUGGAGCAUGUGGUUUAAUUCGAAGCAACGCGAAGAACCUUACCAAAUCUUGACAUCCUUUGACAACUCUAGAGAUAGAGCCUUCCCCUUCGGGGGACAAAGUGACAGGUGGUGCAUGGUUGUCGUCAGCUCGUGUCGUGAGAUGUUGGGUUAAGUCCCGCAACGAGCGCAACCCUUAAGCUUAGUUGCCAUCAUUAAGUUGGGCACUCUAAGUUGACUGCCGGUGACAAACCGGAGGAAGGUGGGGAUGACGUCAAAUCAUCAUGCCCCUUAUGAUUUGGGCUACACACGUGCUACAAUGGACAAUACAAAGGGCAGCGAAACCGCGAGGUCAAGCAAAUCCCAUAAAGUUGUUCUCAGUUCGGAUUGUAGUCUGCAACUCGACUACAUGAAGCUGGAAUCGCUAGUAAUCGUAGAUCAGCAUGCUACGGUGAAUACGUUCCCGGGUCUUGUACACACCGCCCGUCACACCACGAGAGUUUGUAACACCCGAAGCCGGUGGAGUAACCUUUUAGGAGCUAGCCGUCGAAGGUGGGACAAAUGAUUGGGGUGAAGUCGUAACAAGGUAGCCGUAUCGGAAGGUGCGGCUGGAUCACCUCCUUUCU
This 1563-nucleotide ribosomal RNA is filed under the name Allobacillus salarius. RNAcentral's name for it is "Allobacillus sp. SKP4-8 16S ribosomal RNA". It matches the Rfam family "Bacterial small subunit ribosomal RNA". The record is from RNAcentral. Lineage: Bacteria; Bacillati; Bacillota; Bacilli; Caryophanales; Bacillaceae.